AUGAGGGUCCAUGAUGAGCUCGAUGGAGGUGACUCUGCGCAUCGUCUCCUCUUCAAUUUAUAUCUCACCUAUUGGCCACUCCUUCUCCACUGCCACCUCCUCCUGUUUAAGCGACCCGUCACCAAGACCAGGGCAGCAAGCUCAACGGACGUAGUGGCUAAGUUGGACCUUGAUACCGAGGGGUGGGAGAGUGGGGAGGAGGUUGAUCUCGAGCUCACCGGCACAUUGAGGAGGAGGUGGUUAGUCAAAGCUCGAGGCCGCCAGUGCAUGGAAGAGGCUCUUGGAGAGGCAGAGUUUGAGCUCGCCAACACCGAUUUUAUGGCCAAGAGGUGCUCGUUGUUAGAGGUAGGUCCAGGAGAUAGAUGGACGUUGGUGGCGGUCAUUGCUGCUGAAGGCUAGCAAGAAGCGG
Molecule: long non-coding RNA, 409 nt
Filed under: Oryza sativa Indica Group (long-grained rice)
Lineage: Eukaryota; Viridiplantae; Streptophyta; Magnoliopsida; Poales; Poaceae
Description: lncRNA OsMH63_05G011490
Source: RNAcentral